GGGUUGUGAGGUUAAGCGACUAAGCGUACACGGUGGAUGCCCUGGCAGUCAGAGGCGAUGAAGGGCGUGCUAAUCUGCGAUAAGCGCCGGUAAGGUGAUAUGAACCGUUAUAACCGGCGAUACCCGAAUGGGGAAACCCAGUGUGACUCGUCACACUAUCAUUAACUGAAUCCAUAGGUUAAUGAGGCGAACCGGGGGAACUGAAACAUCUAAGUACCCCGAGGAAAAGAAAUCAACCGAGAUUCCCCCAGUAGCGGCGAGCGAACGGGGAGGAGCCCAGAGCCUGAAUCAGCAUGUGUGAUAGUGGAAGCGUCAGGAAAGGCGCGCGAUACAGGGUGACAGCCCCGUGCACAAAAGCGCAUGUGCUGUGAGCUCGAUGAGUAGGGCGGGACAC
RNAcentral lists this ribosomal RNA (394 nucleotides) under Salmonella enterica subsp. enterica serovar Kentucky. RNAcentral's name for it is "bacterial LSU rRNA". It matches the Rfam family "Bacterial large subunit ribosomal RNA", at positions 1 to 425 of the family's 2925-position model. The record is from RNAcentral. Lineage: Bacteria; Pseudomonadati; Pseudomonadota; Gammaproteobacteria; Enterobacterales; Enterobacteriaceae.